This 259-nucleotide unclassified non-coding RNA is filed under the name uncultured fungus. Its description in RNAcentral is "partial contains small subunit ribosomal RNA, internal transcribed spacer 1, and 5.8S ribosomal RNA". The stretch from base 1 to 73 matches the Rfam family "Eukaryotic small subunit ribosomal RNA", at positions 1759 to 1831 of the family's 1831-position model. The record is from RNAcentral. Lineage: Eukaryota; Fungi.
GCAAACUUGGUCAUUUAGAGGAAGUAAAAGUCGUAACAAGGUUUCCGUAGGUGAACCUGCGGAAGGAUCAUUAAUGAAUGUUAGGAUGCUCUUUUUAGAGGUCCGACCCAUUUAUUCCACACACCGUGCACACACACUUUUUACACCCAUUUUUAACACUAUGUAAUGAAUGUACAAAAGUCUCUUGAUUGAGCAUACAAAUAAUAAUAAAACUUUCGGCAACGGAUCUCUUGGCUCUCGCAUCGAUGAAGAACGCAGC